UACAGAGGUCUCAAGCGUUGUUCGGAAUCACUGGGCGUAAAGCGUGCGUAGGCUGUUUCGUAAGUCGUGUGUGAAAGGCGCGGGCUCAACCCGCGGACGGCACAUGAUACUGCGAGACUAGAGUAAUGGAGGGGGAACCGGAAUUCUCGGUGUAGCAGUGAAAUGCGUAGAUAUCGAGAGGAACACUCGUGGCGAAGGCGGGUUCCUGGACAUUAACUGACGCUGAGGCACGAAGGCCAGGGGAGCGAAGGGG
Molecule: ribosomal RNA, 253 nt
Filed under: uncultured bacterium
Lineage: Bacteria
Description: partial 16S ribosomal RNA
Rfam family: Bacterial small subunit ribosomal RNA
Source: RNAcentral